This 241-nucleotide ribosomal RNA is filed under the name uncultured bacterium. RNAcentral describes it as "partial 16S ribosomal RNA". It matches the Rfam family "Bacterial small subunit ribosomal RNA", at positions 335 to 593 of the family's 1533-position model. The record is from RNAcentral.
UGCCUACGGGAGGCAGCAGUGGGGAAUAUUGCACAAUGGGGGGAACCCUGAUGCAGCGACGCCGCGUGAGUGAAGAAGUAUUUCGGUAUGUAAAGCUCUGUCAGCAGGGAAGAAGAAAGACGGUACCUGACCAAGAAGCACCGGCUAACUACGUGCCAGCAGCCGCGGUAAUACGUAGGGGGCAAGCGUUAUCCGGAUUUACUGGGUGUAAAGGGAGCGUAAACGGCAGGGCAAGUCUGGA